This 322-nucleotide ribosomal RNA is filed under the name Rhipicephalus turanicus. Its description in RNAcentral is "partial 12S ribosomal RNA". The record is from RNAcentral. Lineage: Eukaryota; Metazoa; Arthropoda; Arachnida; Ixodida; Ixodidae.
AACUAGGAUUAGAUACCCUAUUAUUUAAGAGCUUAACAUUGUAAGUAAAUAAAGAUUAUGAAAGCAAAAAAUUAUGGCGGUAUUUUAAGCUUUUCAGAGGAAUUUGCUCUUUAAUGGAUAAAACACCUAAAUCUUACUUAAAUUUGUUAAUUCAAUUUGUAUACCACUAUAAAAACAAUUUAUAACUUUAAUUGUUGGUAUUUAUUAAAUUAAAAUAUAUUAAGUCAAGGUGCAGUAAAAAUUUAAGGAUGAAGUGAAUUACAUUACUUUUUAGAGAAAUAAAUUUAAAAUAAUAUUUAGGAUUGAAAGUAAAAUUAAAAUA